UCCUACGGGAGGCAGCAGUGGGGAAUUUUGCGCAAUGGGGGAAACCCUGACGCAGCAACGCCGCGUGGAGGAUGAAGUCUCUUGGGACGUAAACUCCUUUCGAUAGGGACGAUAAUGACGGUACCUAUAGAAGAAGCCCCGGCUAACUUCGUGCCAGCAGCCGCGGUAAUACGAGGGGGGCAAGCGUUGUUCGGAAUUAUUGGGCGUAAAGGGUGCGUAGGCGGUUUGGCAAGUUUGGUGUGAAAUCUUCGGGCUCAAUUCGAAGCCUGCAUCGAAAACUGCCGGGCUUGAGUAUGGGAGAGGUGAGUGGAAUUUCCGGUGUAGCGGUGAAAUGCGUAGAUAUCAGAAGGAACACCUGUGGCGAAAGCGGCUCACUGGACCAUAACUGACGCUGAUGCACGAAAGCUAGGGGAGCAAACAGGGUUAGAUACCCUGGUAGUCCUAGCCCUAAACGAUGAUUGCUUGAUGUGGCAGGUACCCAAUCCUGCCGUGUCGAAGCUAACGCGGUAAGCAAUCCGCCUGGGGAGUACGGUCGUAAGGCUGAAACUCAAAUGAAUUGACGGA
Molecule: ribosomal RNA, 564 nt
Filed under: uncultured bacterium
Lineage: Bacteria
Description: bacterial SSU rRNA
Rfam family: Bacterial small subunit ribosomal RNA
Source: RNAcentral